RNAcentral lists this long non-coding RNA (420 nucleotides) under Equus asinus (donkey). Its description in RNAcentral is "lncRNA (ENSEASG00005025159.1, ENSEASG00020026359.1)". Lineage: Eukaryota; Metazoa; Chordata; Mammalia; Perissodactyla; Equidae. The record is from RNAcentral.
GAAGACUGUACAUAGUACAUAUUCUUAAUAAAGAAUAUAAAGCAAAACUAAAUACGUGUUUAGGCAUAGAAUGAUCUUGUACGGAAGCAGCACAGAGCUCAGACUCUGGAGUUCAAGAGGCAUGGUUUGAAUUCCACGUCCCCCACUUAGUAGCUGUGGGACCUUGGAUAAAAUAUUUUCUCUCUCUCAGCCUGCUUCUUCUCUGGAAAAAGAGAAUAGGAAGGACAACCUCCUCACAGAGUUGUCCCGAGGAGGAACUGAGGCCUGCGAUUUCGGCAUCUGGCGUGGUACCUGAUAGACAGCCCACCUGAACCGGCAGAUUCUGGGGCGACCACAUGCCCCCUUCUUUAGGGCUGCAACCAGGACAACAUCUCCAGGAUGUCUUUGAGACAGUUUGGUGUAGCGAAGAGCACACCUGGG